UCACUGACAUGCGCAAAUAGGCUUACUGACAGACAAAACUCUCUGACUCACACACAAGCUUACUGCAGACACUCAAUUGUAUAAACAGAAGGCUCACUACAAAGAAGUUCAGGGACACACACACAAGCUCACUGACACACACAUGCUCACUAAAUAGAAGCUCACUGACACACACAAGCAGUACCAUUUUAACCAUUAAGGCCCCUGGGCAAAGCAAUGCACUGGAGCCCUUCCUACACAACUCACAGGAAUUUUAAUUAUUGAUAGACUGCUGUGUCCAUACACACACACACACACAGACUGCUGAGUCCAUACACACACACAGACUCUGCUGAGUCCAUACACACACACACACACACACACACAGACUCUGCUGAGUCCAUACACACACACACAGACUCUGCUGAGUCCAUACACAAACACACACUCUGCUGAUUCCAUACACAAACACACAAAGACUGCUGAGUCCAUACACACACACACAGACUCUGCUGAGUCCGUAC
Pelobates cultripes (western spadefoot toad) is the source of this 503-nucleotide non-coding RNA. The record is from the annotation of a GenBank genome assembly. NCBI's taxonomy places the organism in Eukaryota, Metazoa, Chordata, Amphibia, Anura, Pelobatidae.